GAUGAACGCUGGCGGCGUGCCUAAUACAUGCAAGUCGAGCGAACAGACGAGGAGCUUGCUCCUCUGACGUUAGCUGCGGACGGGUGAGUAACACGUGGAUAACCUACCUAUAAGACUGGGAUAACUUCGGGAAACCGGAGCUAAUACCGGAUAACAUAUUGAACCGCAUGGUUCAAUAGUGAAAGACGGUAUUGCUGUCACUUAUAGAUGAAUCCGCGCCGCAUUAGCUAGUUGGUAAGGUAACGGCUUACCAAGGCAACGAUGCGUAGCCGACCUGAGAGGGUGAUCGGCAACACUGGAACUGAGACACGGUCCAGACUCCUACGGGAGGCAGCAGUAGGGAAUCUUCCGAAAUGGGCGAAAGCUUGACGGAGCAACGCCGCGUGAGUGAGGAAGGUCUUCGGAUCGUAAAACUCUGUUAUUAGGGAAGAACAAAUGUGUAAGUAACUAUGCACGUCUUGACGGUAGCUAAUCAGAAAGCCACGGCUAACUACGUG
This 497-nucleotide ribosomal RNA is filed under the name uncultured bacterium. Its description in RNAcentral is "partial 16S ribosomal RNA". It matches the Rfam family "Bacterial small subunit ribosomal RNA", at positions 28 to 507 of the family's 1533-position model. The record is from RNAcentral.